This 127-nucleotide ribosomal RNA is filed under the name Bifidobacterium longum subsp. suis. RNAcentral's name for it is "partial 23S ribosomal RNA". It matches the Rfam family "Bacterial large subunit ribosomal RNA", at positions 2802 to 2925 of the family's 2925-position model. The record is from RNAcentral. Lineage: Bacteria; Bacillati; Actinomycetota; Actinomycetes; Bifidobacteriales; Bifidobacteriaceae.
AGAUAAGCAUUCCGUGCAGCCUCGGGCUGCUGUAGUCCCCAUGCAGAACACGUGGUCGAUAGGCCGGACGUGGAAGCCCCGCGAGGGGUGGAGCCGACCGGUACUAACGGACGAAAGGCAACACUCA